This 58-nucleotide transfer RNA is filed under the name Salmo salar (Atlantic salmon). It matches the Rfam family "tRNA", at positions 8 to 63 of the family's 71-position model. From Rfam's summary of the family: Transfer RNA (tRNA) molecules are approximately 80 nucleotides in length. Their secondary structure includes four short double-helical elements and three loops (D, anti-codon, and T loops). Lineage: Eukaryota; Metazoa; Chordata; Actinopteri; Salmoniformes; Salmonidae. The record is from Rfam by way of RNAcentral.
UGGCUCAGUUAGUAGAGCAUGGAACUUGUAAUGCCAGGGUUGUGGGUACGAUUCCCAC